CGGAGGAACAACCCCAGUGGCGGUGCCAACUCUGGAGCCCUGGAUUCAGCCCCCGCAGUAGCCCCGGAGCUCUCCGUCUGCAGGGCCUGGAGGCUCCGGGGCGGG
Canis lupus familiaris (dog) is the source of this 105-nucleotide non-coding RNA. NCBI's taxonomy places the organism in Eukaryota, Metazoa, Chordata, Mammalia, Carnivora, Canidae. The record is from Rfam.